This 498-nucleotide ribosomal RNA is filed under the name uncultured bacterium. Its description in RNAcentral is "partial 16S ribosomal RNA". It matches the Rfam family "Bacterial small subunit ribosomal RNA", at positions 30 to 523 of the family's 1533-position model. The record is from RNAcentral.
AUUGAACGCUGGCGGCAUGCCUUACACAUGCAAGUCGAACGGUAACAGGUCUUCGGAUGCUGACGAGUGGCGAACGGGUGGGUAAUACAUCGGAACGUGCCUAGUAGUGGGGGAUAACUACUCGAAAGAGUGGCUAAUACCGCAUGAGAUCUACGGAUGAAAGCAGGGGAUCGCAAGACCUUGUGCUACUAGAGCGGCCGAUGGCAGAUUAGGUAGUUGGUGGGAUAAAAGCUUACCAAGCCGACGAUCUGUAGCUGGUCUGAGAGGACGAUCAGCCACACUGGGACUGAGACACGGCCCAGACUCCUACGGGAGGCAGCAGUGGGGAAUUUUGGACAAUGGGCGAAAGCCUGAUCCAGCAAUGCCGCGUGCAGGAUGAAGGCCUUCGGGUUGUAAACUGCUUUUGAACGGAACGAAAAGCCCCGGGUUAAUACCCUGGGGUCAUGACGGUACCGUAAGAAUAAGCACCGGCUAACUACGUGCCAGCCGCCGCAGUAA